GAUGAACGCUGGCGGCGUGCCUAAUACAUGCAAGUCGAGCGAACAGACGAGGAUCUUGCUCCUCUGACGUUAGCGGCGGACGGGUGAGUAACACGUGGAUAACCUACCUAUAAGACUGGGAUAACUUCGGGAACCCGGAGCUAAUACCGGAUAAUAUAUUCAACCGCAUGGUUCAAUAGUGACAGACGGUUUUGCUGUCACUUAUAGAUGGAUCCGCGCCGCAUUAGCUAGUUGGUAAGGUAACGGCUUACCAAGGCAACGAUGCGUAGCCGACCUGAGAGGGUGAUCGGCCACACUGGAACUGAGACACGGUCCAGACUCCUACGGGAGGCAGCAGUAGGGAAUCUUCCGCAAUGGGCGAAAGCCUGACGGAGCAACGCCGCGUGAGUGAUGAAGGUCUUCGGAUCGUAAAACUCUGUUAUUAGGGAAGAACAAAUGUGUAAGUAACUAUGCACGUCUUGACGGUACCUAAUCAGAAAGCCACGGCUAACUACGUG
This 497-nucleotide ribosomal RNA is filed under the name uncultured bacterium. RNAcentral describes it as "partial 16S ribosomal RNA". It matches the Rfam family "Bacterial small subunit ribosomal RNA", at positions 28 to 507 of the family's 1533-position model. The record is from RNAcentral.